UCUGCUCGGAUAUGACUGGACACUGAGCCCUGGAGAGGGUUCCCACAGAGUGAUAUUCUUGGAAGUCUUGGAGUGAGUCUGAGCUGAACACGAGAGGCAAAUAAACUGAAUAACUGAACAUGAGAGGCAAAUAAAUCCCAUAAUCUGGCAUUAGAGGAUGGGCAGUUUCAAGUGCGCGCCACUCAUGCACCACGAUUCACACUUCUCCUGCCUCAACAGACGCAUCAGCAGAAGAGGUCUGGGCAGUAGAUCCCAUCCAAGGAGGUGACACUCGGGAUACCCUUUCUACCUCCUGCCAAAGCAGCUGAGGAGCUCUUAUUACAAAGCAGGCAACACUAACAGGUUCUGCAUGUUAAUGCUUGUUAAUGACACUGGAAUCAGGCUCGACUUCCCAGGAAGUGCUGGUGUGCUGGUGAGGCUACACUUGGGAGCCCGGUAAGUGGAACUCAGAGCACGCACAGUUGUGUCAGACAAGUUGAACAUGAGCCAACAGUACACCAUUGCAGCAAAGCCACCAACUCAUCCUCGGCUACACUGUGCUGCUAACAGCUCAAGGGAGUUGAUCCUUCCCUUCUACUCAGCUCUGAGAAGAAACAUCUGGAGUGCUGCUCGAGCUCAUGGCUACACAGCACAAGAGAAACAUGAACAUAGAAGAUCCCUUUGGAAGAUGAGACCAGGGUGAACUUCACUGGGACAAGAAGCAAAGCACAGCAGAGAUAAAUGGGAGGAGGCAGGCUGGAAGCCAUCUCUGGAUACAGACUGUGCUGCGCAGCAAUGCAGUGUCGUCAAGGUGCACAUUCCCCAUGGAGGAGAAAGGAUUCAGUCGUGCUGAAAAUAGAUGCUUCUUGAGACAGCGAUCAGACAGCUGCUCCCUUUCUGCCAGGGCCUAAGAUGUGUAUUUUGUUCUCAUCCCAGCAGUUAACUGAGAGAUUAGGAGUGAGAAGGCACUUUUUAGCCAGGCUGGGGAGGGCAAGGAGAAGUUUCUGCAGGUGCUGUGUGUUGGCCACUGGGAACCUCCCCCUGCUGCCUGUCCAGACUUACCAAGCUCAUGAACUGGAAACACAAGUAUGGCCUGUAGUGGAGGUUUUUCAGUAGAAAAAUGAAUGUUUCUUUGCAGUUUUUACCCCUGGGAGCUACUCUCAGGCUUUGUGCUCUGUGAUUCCCUGAGACAGACAGCCCGACAAGGUGGUCCCUCUCUCUGGCUGGGAGAGUGUCCAGGUGUCCCCUUUGGGUGGGAGAGUGUCCAGGUGUCCCCUCUGGCUGGGAGAGUGUCCAGGUGUCCCCUUUCGGUGGGAGAGUGUCCAGGUGUCCCCUCUGGCUGGGAGAGUGUCCACGUGUCCCCUCUGGCUGGGAGAGUGUCCAGGUGGCCAAUCCUGUGCAGCUGAAGCUGUGGCCAUCAGUGAAAUCUUUGGUUUCAAAGCGUAUCCCUCCAGAACACCAAAUCCAUAAUACCGCUUCUCAUGAACAACAGCUGAAAUGCCCUCAGCAGCAGCAGCAGCAGGCUUUGGUUGCUUUCAGUCCUUGAAGAGCAGCAUGACCUGCAGGCAGAGUCAGAGACCUGUGGAACUCAUUGGGGCAGCAAAAUGCAUCUCAUCACAUCAGGAAGGAGCUCCACCAGGUGAGGAGCAGCAGGGCAGGCAGAGUACAGGAGAAUCUUCUCAUUACUACAGGCUGGACAUAUUCUCAGUGGUAACUGUAUGCUGAUAAGCAUUUAUCUAUGUCCAUCACAGGAAUUUAGGGGUGUGCUUCAAGCAUUUUUUUUUAUUCUGAGUUGCCAGGCAUGAGUUUUCAGAAAUAUGUGUAUGAUACAGCACUGUCAUCACUUCUCUGGGUUAUUUCUGACAUUAGUAUCACAUAGAAGGAAAUAAGAUUGCAUGAUGUCCCUGCCCAUGUCAGGGAGAUUGGAUUAGGUGAGAUUUAAAGGCCUCUUGAACCCAAACCCUCCUGUGAUCUGUGUGACUCUCUGGAUGGAUGUACUGGGUGAGUCUGAAGGAACAGGCAGACUCUCACACCCGAGACAUUUAUCAUCAUCCCACUCUCCCCAGACACCCAGCCUCUGCAUGACAUCCCACCCAGGUGCUGAAGCCUUCUAGAGGACAAACCACCUCAAGAUGAUGAAAAAUGUCAUCAGAAUGGAGCAAAAAUCAAGUAACUUACACAUGGGAAGCUGUACUGAAAACAACAACGUGUGUCCCUGCCAGCAAUAGGAGACAGAAGCACAUUCCUACCAUCUCUAUAUGAAGCCUAAGAAACCUUUGGCCUUCUCAGGUCUCUGUGACCUAUUUGUUCCCUCACGUGGAGCCUGUAAUGGUCAUGGGAUAGUGCAGAUAUCCUCCUCAGCAGGGAUCCCCUUGCACACCCUGCUAGGGAGCCCUGGGAGGUUGGACAGAGCUCAGAGAUGCUCAGCUUCUGCUGCAGUAGGAAACCUCCUGCUGUGGGUCGAGGGCCUGGAGAGCAGGCUCAGACACAGACAGCAGUGUCUUCUUGUGCCUGGGGACAGGUCACUGCAGCUCCUCCUCAGGUGACUGGGGUCCCUGAUGUCCUGAAAGAAACUGAGAUGUGCUCAGGGCCAUGGGGGGCACCAGGAAUGAGCAGGAUCUGCAUGGAUGUGCUGCUCCUCUGAGCACACAUUACAGCUAAGGUGAAAGGAAGUCAGUCCUGCAUGUGGUGGGUCACCACUGGUGAUUACUCUGCCCUACUUCAACCGAAUCAGCUUGCUGGGGGACUGGUGCCCAGACCCUGCUAAACUGUGGAAGAUAUUCCAUGAAGUACAAUCUGCAUACCUCUGUUGAUUGUUUACACACACAUUUGGUGUGUUAUCAACUGUCUCUUAAGGCCAUGUCGCACAGGGAACAGACCUGGUGACAAGCAGCUGUGCUUGGCCACGCUUCUCAAGCUGGGUUCCUCUCAAUGACAUCAGCUGGGACUCAAGAGUGGCACAGCCCAGCUCACAGAGCAGUGGGGAGAGAGAUAAAACAGCAAACUUUCCUUUGGGGCUGAAAACUCUCCGUUGAGUAUCAGAGUUGUGCCAUUAAUCAGACUCCUCAUGUUCCCAGCAAACACCAGCGGAAGAGCUGGCCGGGGAGGUGACAUUCAGGAUGUCCUUUCUGUCACCCACCACGGCAGCUGAGGAGCUCCUGUUACAGAGCAGGGGAUUGGGGUGGGCAGGCUAAGACGCCUCCGGGUAAGAAAAGUCAAAAGAUGGCAAGUGGCAAAAGGGGGAGGGAAGGAGAACUAGGAUUAGGUGCAUAAUAUUAGCACAAGCAGCAACUGUAUCCUAAAAAAGACAGGGAUGAGGUGGUAUCUUCCUUGGUUGGCAUUCAUUUGGGACAGAUGCACAAAUCCUACUUCUGGGCAGAUUUCAGUGCUGUAAAUGGAAAUAAGCCAGUAUGGAAUUUCUAUAAAUCUGCUCACUUUCAAAAUUAAGUUUUUCAAAACUAAGACAACCCAGUGGAUUGCCACAGAAUUUUCUGAGUGGCACUCACUGUAGUGAAGUAGCCAACAGGAUACACAGCAGAAUUAUCUAGUGACAUUUCUGAACUAACUUGUUCCUGCAGAAAAGUUCAUGUGCAUCCCUAGGAAAUUUAUCAACGGUUUCAUUAUUUUAUAUUGGAAGACAGAUUCCCUUGUGGGUCAGGCUAAACAUGUCUUUAAUUGCCCUCUGCAUUCAUCUCCUGUGCCAGGGGAGGAAUACUAGUCCCUGCUGCUCCUGAAGGGCAAAUCAGUUGUGCAAAGCAGAACAGCUCCAGGUUUUUUUCUUUGGAUGAUCCUACAUAAAACAUACGCCACAGGGUGGGCUCAAAAAAGAGUGACAAGUCCUGUGGGGUGGGUCACAGCAGCAGCAGCUCAAAACUUGCACCACACUGCACCACCCCCAUCCAUUUUCCCUCUGUUUGGGAUAAAAGCAGCUCCUGCGGCUGCUGGACCCCAGCCCGAGCUACCUGCCCUGCCUAGGGAGCUGACCAUGCUGGGGGCUUCCAGGCUCCACCUGCGAUUAGCCCCUGAAUUUUCAGCCCUCUGGGAAGGUCUGGAUUUUCAUUCUGUCCUCCCAGUACAGCCUGUGUUCCCAGGUUUGCGAAAUCCUGCCCGGGGGUUUGUUCUCUGCAGUGCAGACAGCUCUGCUCGGCACUGUGCCUGGCCAGGAGUGACAAGCCUCGUACCUUCUCAGCAGCAAUGGAACAACAGAAUAAAUACUGCAAACGGUUUCUUCAGAACUAAAAUUAGGCUUUAAAAAGAAUUUCAGAGGUGGGGUAUGAGUUAAGCAUUUACAGAUUAUCGCUGUAGUGUUUCCCAGCAGCUCCCCUCGGAUUUCUCCUCCAGACCUGUUUGGAGUUGCCAUUUCUUUCACCUCCCCCCAUUCUCUACUGUCUUAUCACUUCUCUUCCUCGCACACAUCCAUCUUGCUGUCCUCCUCCCAGACCCUUUAUAAACUCCCCAGCACCAUUUCAACCCCACCUCAGUCCUGUGGUUACUAUUCCACACUCUCUUACCAAUUUUUUUUUCUGCAACAAGAGUAGAAGUAUAUCAAGUUUAGCUUCUCACACCUAAUGCAUUGGGGCCCAGCUCUAUAUGAUCCAAACACGUUCAACAGGCUGCUCCUGCUCCACUUGGCUAAGAGAAGGGACUACAGUGCUGCUGUUCCUGGAGCAAGCCCUGCCUCUGCUUUCUUCAUCAGGGAAGGGAUUCAUCAACUGGGGCCCCUUGCUGAUCUACAAAGCAAAAGAUGGUCCUCUGAGUCCAUGGGCAUUGCAUUAAUUUGUCGGUUAAAAGGAGAGGGGAUGCCCCAUCCACCCCAAGGAGCCCUGACUGACUGCUGGAAGUGCCUGGGCAGCUGCGGGUUGCCUAUGGGACAGCACAUCCCAGCAGGGAAUGGCCACUGUCAUGGUGCUGGGCCCCAUUCUGGUGUUUAACCUUUCAGCUGGCAAUGGAGCUGUGCUGCAGCGAGUGUCUCUGGGGUAAGAAUAGCAGCUGCUGCCUUGGGACACAGCAGCCGUGUCCAGCUCCUCCACGGCAGCACGUUGCACUGCGACAUAGAAGGCAGCCUACCCGCCCAGGAAUGUCUUCAGGCGCUAUUAGUGGAAGCAAAUCAUCCCCACAAACAGGCACGACCCCGCAGAGGAGUCUGAGGAGAGCGGGGUUAUUUUGGGCUUUUGACAUUGAGGAUGAAAGGAGACACGUGAUGGGCUGAUCCUCCUGGUGCGGGCCUCCUCCAGAGCUGCUGUCAGCCUUGUCCCCUCCUCCAGCAGUGGCUCUUGUGAAGGCUGAGGGGCAGUUUGGUGUGGCCUUGGAGCACAGGAGGUGAGGGCAGAAGGAGCUGUGAGUUUGCUGGGGUGCAGGGCCAGCCCUGAGUGCCAUCAGCAGUGCCCAGCUGCGCUCAGGGCAGGUCCUUCCUGAGGUGUGAACCUGUCCCUGAACUCAGGGCAUGGGGCCUGUUUUCUUCUCAACCACGCCCAUGAGAGUGAGAGGAGAUGCCAGAGACUGUUGUAAGGGUCCAAACAACUUGCUGACAGUGUACAUUGAAACACAAAUCCUUUGCAUCCAGGAGAGUAUUUAUUUCUUUGCACCUGAAACUCUCCAUUUCUGAGUGGUUCUUCAGCACCAGAAAUGUCUGAGAGUCCUGUUUUCCUCUUUCCAGCCAUCAUAAAUUCCCUCCCCAACUUAUUCCCAUCCUUUUAACAUCCUCUUUCUGGUGUGGAUUUCUUUCUUCCCACUUUGGCUAUGUCUCACCUGUUUCCGUUUAAUUUACCUUGCCUUGUGAAAAGUUGCAGAUUAAACUGUCAGAGGAAAAACCACCACUUUCCCAGGAGAGUUUUCUGGCUGGCUCAGCCAGCCAAGCUGGUCUCCCUUGUGACUCCAGAUUGAGCUCGACUGAUGCACAAUGUGUUAGCAGGCAGGAACAAGUGGUCAGGGGACCGAGGGUGUAUCAGGUGGCUUAUAAAGUGCUGCCACCAAACGCAAUCCCACACCUUUGGGGGUCAGUCUCAUGCUAGCUCCUGGAAGGAGGCCACUUGGCACAGUCACAGCCUUUUAAGCCAUUUCCGUGCGCAUCCAGCACUGCUGCAGACAAAUAUCAGCUCAGCCAGCAGACAAGAGCCACAAGUCCUCAUUCAUGGUCAAGUCAUUUUUCCAGCAGCUUAAUAAGUCACCCUCCUAUGUCUGGCUUUGCCAGCACCUCUGUGCUUGUCGAGCAUCCCCUGUGUGUGUCAGAACACAGUGCAAUGGGCGUGGGCACUGUGCACAGUCCAGCUGUGGCUGCUCACUUCAAGGUCAGGCUGGUGAUAGCG
Long non-coding RNA from Hirundo rustica (Barn swallow), 6284 nucleotides. RefSeq lists it as uncharacterized. The record is from RefSeq and is a predicted model, not a curated record. Lineage: Eukaryota; Metazoa; Chordata; Aves; Passeriformes; Hirundinidae. The transcript has 5 exons.